RNAcentral lists this ribosomal RNA (349 nucleotides) under uncultured bacterium. RNAcentral describes it as "partial 16S ribosomal RNA". It matches the Rfam family "Bacterial small subunit ribosomal RNA", at positions 338 to 701 of the family's 1533-position model. The record is from RNAcentral.
CCUACGGGGAGCUGCAGUGAGGAAUAUUGGUCAAUGGGCGCGAGCCUGAACCAGCCAAGUAGCGUGAAGGAUGACGGCCCUGCGGGUUGUAAACUUCUGGUAAGAGGGAAGAGCAGAAGACGGUACCGCGUGAAUAAGCCACGGCUAACGACGUGCCAGCAGCCGCGGUAAGACGUAGGUGGCAAGCGUUGUCCGGAUUUACUGGGUGUAAAGGGCGUGCAGCCGGGAAGAAAAGUCAGAUGGGAAGUCCCGCGGCUCAACCGCGGAACUGCCUUGGAAACUGUUUUUCUUGAGUACCGGCGCGGUCAUCGCACUUCCUUGUGUAGCGGUGACAUGCGUAGAUAUCAGG